ACGAGUAUAGUUAAGUGGUAUAGCAUCUACCUUCCAAGUAGAGAUCAUCAGUUCGAAUCUGAUUACUCGUA
Transfer RNA from Termitomyces sp. J132, 71 nucleotides. It matches the Rfam family "tRNA". From Rfam's summary of the family: Transfer RNA (tRNA) molecules are approximately 80 nucleotides in length. Their secondary structure includes four short double-helical elements and three loops (D, anti-codon, and T loops). The record is from Rfam. Lineage: Eukaryota; Fungi; Basidiomycota; Agaricomycetes; Agaricales; Lyophyllaceae.